GGUAAUACCUGAUGAUCCCGACGGGUCGCAUGAGCUGUCGGGCAAAGCUCCGGCGGCUGGGGAUCGGCCCAUGUCGUAUCAGCUUGUUGGUGGGGUAACGGCCUACCAAGGCAACGACGGGUAGCGGGACUGAGAGGUUGGUCCGCCACAUCGGGACUGAGACACUGCCCGGACACCUACGGGUGGCUGCAGUAACGGAUAUUCCGCAAUGGGCGCAAGCCUGACGGAGCGACGCCGCGUGGAGGACGAAGUCCUUCGGGAUGUAAACUCCUUUUAGGGGGAAGCCGGCGCUGAUCGAACCCAGAAAAAGCCUGGGCUAACUCCGUGCCAGCAGCCGCGGUAAUACGGAGCAGGCAAGCGUUGUUCGGAAUCACUGGGCUUAAAGCGCGUGUAGGCGGCCUGGCAAGUACCCUGUGAAAGCCCUCGGCUCAACCGAGGAAUUGCAGGGCAAACUGCUCGUCUUGAGGCAGGUAGGGGUGCAUGGAACUCUAGGUGGAGCGGUGAAAUGCGUAGAUAUCUAGAGGAACGCCGGUGGCGAAAGCGGUGCACUGGGCCUGAUCUGACGCUGAGACGCGAAAGCGUAGGGAGCGAACGGGAUUAGAUACCCCGGUAGUCUACGCCGUAAACGAUGCGCACUAGGUUUGAGACUCUCUGACGAGCCUCGUGCCGAAGCCAAAGUGAUAAGUGCGCCGCCUGGGGAGUACGGCCGCAAGGCUAAAACUCAAAGGAAUUGACGGGGGCUCACACAAGCGGUGGAGGAUGUUGCUUAAUUCGAAGCAACGCGAAGAACCUUACCAGGGUUUGACAUGCACGGCAUUAACCCCGGGAAAACCGGGCCACGCCCUUCGGGGUGGAACGUACACAGGUGCUGCAUGGCUGUCGUCAGCUCGUGCUGUGAAGUGUCGGGUUAAGUCCCUUAACGAGCGAAACCCCUGUCGCUAGUUGCCAACACGUAAUGGUGGGGACUCUAGCGAGACUGCCGGUGUCAAACCGGAGGAAGGUGGGGAUGACGUCAAGUCCUCAUGGCCUUUAUGUCCAGGGCUGCACACGUGCUACAAUGGCGUAUACAAAGCGACGCGAUACCGCGAGGUGGAGCAAAUCGCAAAAAGUACGCCCCAGUUCGGAUUGGAGUCUGCAACUCGACUCCAUGAAGUUGGAAUCGCUAGUAAUCGCGGAUCAGCUACGCCGCGGUGAAUACGUUCCUGAGCCUUGUACACACCGCCCGUCAAGUCAUGGAAGCCGGUAGCGCCCGAAGUGCGCUUAGCUAACCC
RNAcentral lists this ribosomal RNA (1271 nucleotides) under uncultured prokaryote. RNAcentral describes it as "partial 16S ribosomal RNA". It matches the Rfam family "Bacterial small subunit ribosomal RNA", at positions 162 to 1441 of the family's 1533-position model. The record is from RNAcentral.